Molecule: long non-coding RNA, 567 nt
Organism: Hemicordylus capensis (graceful crag lizard)
Lineage: Eukaryota; Metazoa; Chordata; Lepidosauria; Squamata; Cordylidae
Exons: 2
Source: RefSeq, a predicted model, not a curated record
UCCCAGGAAAAGGAGAAACCAUGAAGAUAGGUAGGUCGAGAGAAAGGUUAUAGCCGCUCACGCUCUAAACUUCCGGUAGUGGAGCGAAGGCAUCAUCCGUUGGCCACGAACAGAACGGCAUAAAAAGAAGGAACCCUUUUGGGAUCAUCAGAUCAAAGACCUUUUUCCACACUAGAAUCUCAUUUCUCCGUGUGUGAAUUGACUCAUCUGAAUCAGUGAAGAAUCCCCAGAAGUUGCUAAUUUCGAUCCUACAGUUCAAGUGGCAGUGCCUCAGUCUCCCCGCCCCCAUUUCUGAUCCAGAUACUAUUUUAAUUUUUUUUAAGCACUUCUUUCUGUUUUUAUCUAAUUUUAUUUUGAUGUUAUUUUUGUUUAUGUUUAAUUUAUAUUUUCAUUGUGUGGACUCACUUAUUUUUUAUUGUAAGUUCUAUCUUGCUUUUGCAAAAAGAAAUUUUGCUGCUGCUUCUUCUUCUUCUUGUUAAAGAGUUGAACAUUUGGACAUUAUAACCACCAGUUACUUGUGCUUUGCAGAUUUUAACCACCAAUUAGUAAAUUCCUUAUUGCUUCAUC